GGCAGUGGAGGGGAUGAUAACGAAGGGAUGCAAAUAGUGAAACUAGCAAGGCUGCUUGGGUGGGGGAGGGACAGAGAGAGAGAGAGAAUG
Molecule: long non-coding RNA, 90 nt
Organism: Amblyraja radiata (thorny skate)
Lineage: Eukaryota; Metazoa; Chordata; Chondrichthyes; Rajiformes; Rajidae
Exons: 3
Source: RefSeq, a predicted model, not a curated record